AUGCCGGCAAGUCCGGCCCCAUCUGCGGAGAUCUGGCGGCGGGGGGGGGGGGGGGGGGGGGGGGGAUUGGGGUGGGGUGGGUGGGGAAGGGCUGGGUGUGUGCCCCUCCCCUCGGGCCCAUCUGUCCAUCCCUCGGCCUCUCAUCCCUCCAUCUGUCCACCUACCGGCCGCCCAUCCCCCCCACCCCCAGCCACCGGGAAGGGGAAGACAUGGCCGUCUCCCCCAAGGACCGCUGAGGACCCCCCAAUUGACAUAGACCGAGGGAGCCACAAACUCCCCUCCCCCAAAGCCACACAGAGGCCUGGUCCCACAAGGAACGAGCCCCAGCCCCCGGCCGGGAACCUGACGUGGACGCACAGACACACACCCUCGGAGACACACAACCCGCAGACACACACAUACACACACACAAAUGGACACCAGGACGGGCACACCCGGCUACACAAACCCUCGGAUGGACAUCCAACCUGGACACAAACACCCAGCGCAGCCAGCCCCGCGCACACACUCGUGGGGGGGGGGGGGGGAACACACACCUGGGCACACAACCCACGCACACACACCUGCACACAGCCCCUCCGAUGGGCGCGCGACAGCCCCCCAGACACACAGCCAGAGGAGCAGCCGCUCGGGGGACACACGCGCGCGGCCGGACACAGCACCUCGGCUCGACACCCAGCACACACCCGGAUGGCCACACAAGCAGGGCGCCGCACACGCCGGCGCCGGGCACACACAGGGCCGCGCGAGCGCACGCCGGGCCCGCCGCAGCGCCGCGGACACACACUCACACGCUCGCACGCUCACACCCGCGCUCCCACCGGCGCCCCCGCCCGCCGCCUCCCCGGCCGCUGCGGGCCGCGCUCACCCAGCCCGGGGGGGCCCCGGGCCCGGCCCCGCCGCCGCCGCCUCGCUCCGCGCCAUGGUGGGGGGAGGGCCGGGGGAGGGGGCGCGGUGCCGCGGGGCCGCCUCCCUCCCGCCUCCCGCCCUCCCUCCCGAGCCGCCGCCGAGCUCCGCCCUCCGCGCCGCCCGCCGCCGGAGCCCAGCCGCCACCACCGCCGCAAGGGGGGAGGGGGCGCCGACCGGAGGGGGCGGGCGGGGCGGCCGCGCAGCCCAGACCCCCGCUUCGGGGCCCGCCGCAGACCCCUCUCCACUGCGGAGCCGCCGGCCCGCCCCCGACCCCUCCCCAGCCCCACCCCCAGCCCUGCCGGCUUCCCCAGAGACCCCCAGACCACGCCCCAACUGGCGUGGGGACUCGGCGGAGAUCUCGGGAGCGUGUCCCAAUACCCUGGGGAACCUCAGGCCAUGCCUUACCUCCUUGGAGGACCCAGACCAUGUCCUACAGCCACCCAGGACCACCAACCAUGUCCUACUCUCCUUGGUGACCUCAGACUCUGCCCCAUACUCCAUCGGGGACCCCAGACCAUAUCCCAGCACCUAAGGGGAUCCGGAGCACCCCCAUCAGGGACCCUAAAUCAUACCAUAACAUUCAGGUAUGAAUGUUACCACGCCCCAGAGAGGACCCAAACCAUAUAUCAAUAUCUAGGGAGACACCAGAUCAUGUCUUACUCCCUCUGGGGACCCAAACCACAUCCUACUGCUUCUUGGAGACCCCAGCAGGUCCUUCCACACACCAUUCCUUGA
This 1644-nucleotide long non-coding RNA is filed under the name Felis catus (domestic cat). RNAcentral's name for it is "lncRNA (ENSFCAG00000051028.1)". Lineage: Eukaryota; Metazoa; Chordata; Mammalia; Carnivora; Felidae. The record is from RNAcentral.